Molecule: ribosomal RNA, 485 nt
Filed under: uncultured bacterium
Lineage: Bacteria
Description: bacterial SSU rRNA
Rfam family: Bacterial small subunit ribosomal RNA
Source: RNAcentral
GUUGAACGCUAGCGGCAUGCCUUACACAUGCAAGUCGAACGGCAGCACGGGGGCAACCCUAGGUGGCGAGUGGCGAACGGUGAGUAAUGCAUCGGAACGUGCCCAUCGAUGGGGGAUAACUGCGCGAAAGCGUUGCUAAUACCGCAUACGACCUACGGGUGAAAGCAGGGGACCGCAAGGCCUUGCGUCGAUGGAGCGGCCGAUGCCGGAUUAGCUAGUUGGUGAGGUAAAGGCUCACCAAGGCGACGAUCCGUAGCUGGUCUGAGAGGACGACCCAGCCACACUGGGACUGAGACACGGCCCAGACUCCUACGGGAGGCAGCAGUGGGGAAUCUUGGACAAUGGGCGAAAGCCUGAUCCAGCAAUGCCGCGUGUGGGAAGAAGGCCUUCGGGUUGUAAACCACUUUUGGCGGGAAAGAAAUGGUCUGUGCUAAUACCACGGAUUGAUGACGGUACCCGCAGAAUAAGCACCGGCUAACUACGUG